AUACUUGCCUGAUUCGCUGAUUACAAAUCUCAACUUAGGUUUUAUCUCUUUAUCACAACCUAUCAAUAAUCAGAUCAUUCGUUCGAUUAGAACAAUAUAUCUUAACACAUAGUACUGUCUAUUACAGUCAGCACAUAGUCUAAUCAUAUAAUCACAGUGAUCAUACUUUUAGUUCAUAUUCUAUACUUGAAAUAUUUUUAUACAUUUUUCAAAUAUCCCAUCC
RNAcentral lists this long non-coding RNA (223 nucleotides) under Panax ginseng (ginseng). RNAcentral describes it as "long non-coding RNA (PGIN_LNC000947)". Lineage: Eukaryota; Viridiplantae; Streptophyta; Magnoliopsida; Apiales; Araliaceae. The record is from RNAcentral.